GCCGUUUCCAGCAGCUCCUGCAGCUGCUUCUGGACCAACUCUUUGCUCACGCACGCCCCAAGCGUCGUCCCGAUGCACUUGUACAGAAAGUUCUUCUCGGCGGGGAAUCCGUUGUAGCCGUUGAGCUGCCGGCACAUCUCCGUCACGAAGUGGCAGAUCCAAGCGUUGUCUGAAAUGGCUGCCAGCGUCUCCUGGAGGAGCAGCAGCAGCUCCUCUUCCCACUCCUCCGGGUGCAGCGACUUCUCGGUGUUCUCCUCGAUGCGCUCCACCAGCAAAGGAACCCUUUUGCUCCAAAGCUGCUCCAGUGCAGGGUGGACGCUGCAACACAACGCAUGCAGGAGCCGCAGCGCUGCUGCACCCCGACCGUCCCCCGUGUAGGGCCGGGAGGACACCACC
Molecule: long non-coding RNA, 396 nt
Filed under: Gallus gallus (chicken)
Lineage: Eukaryota; Metazoa; Chordata; Aves; Galliformes; Phasianidae
Source: RNAcentral